GAUGAACGCUAGCGGCAGGCCUAACACAUGCAAGUCGAGGGGUAACAUGAGUGCUUGCACUUGAUGACGACCGGCGCACGGGUGAGUAACGCGUAUACAAUCUACCUUAUACUAGGGAAUAGCCCAGAGAAAUUUGGAUUAAUGCUCUAUAGUCUAUUAAUAUGGCUUCAUAUAAAUAGUAAAGGUAACGGUAUAAGAUGAGUAUGCGUCCUAUUAGUUAGUUGGUAAGGUAACGGCUUACCAAGACUACGAUAGGUAGGGGCCCUGAGAGGGGGAUCCCCCACACUGGUACUGAGACACGGACCAG
This 307-nucleotide ribosomal RNA is filed under the name uncultured bacterium. RNAcentral describes it as "bacterial SSU rRNA". It matches the Rfam family "Bacterial small subunit ribosomal RNA", at positions 28 to 334 of the family's 1533-position model. The record is from RNAcentral.